ACCCGCUGAACUUAAGCAUAUCAAUAAGCGGAGGAAAAGAAACCAACAGGGAUUGCCUCAGUAACGGCGAGUGAAGCGGCAACAGCUCAAAUUUGAAAUCUGGCCUUCCGGUCCGAGUUGUAAUUUGCAGAGGAUGCUUCGGGCGCGGUGCCUUCCAAGUCCCCUGGAACGGGGCGCCGGAGAGGGUGAGAGCCCCGUACGGUUGGCGGCCAAGCCUGUGUGAAGCUCCUUCGACGAGUCGAGUAGUUUGGGAAUGCUGCUCUAAGCGGGAGGUAGACCCCUUCUAAAGCUAAAUACCGGCCAGAGACCGAUAGCGCACAAGUAGAGUGAUCGAAAGAUGAAAAGCACUUUGAAAAGAGGGUUAAACAGCACGUGAAAUUGUUGAAAGGGAAGCGCUUGCGACCAGACGUGCGCCGGGGUGCUCAGCGGGCGUUCUCGCCCGUGCACUCGCCCCGGCGCAGGCCAGCGUCGGUUUGGGCGGGGGGAUAAAGGCGUCUGGAAUGUGGCUCCCCCGGGAGUGUUAUAGCCAGGCGUGCCAUGCCUCCGCCCGGACCGAGGUACGCGUUCUGCAAGGACGCUGGCGUAAUGGUCCCCAGCGACCCGUCUUGAAACACGGACCAAGGAGUCGAGGUUUUGCGCGAGUGUUUGGGUGGAAAACCCGCACGCGUAAUGAAAGUGAACGUAGGUGAGAGCUUCGGCGCAUCACCGACCGAUCCUGAUGUUUUCGGAUGGAUUUGAGUAAGAGCGUAGGGCCUCGGACCCGAAAGAUGGUGAACUAUGCUUGGAUAGGGUGAAGCCAGAGGAAACUCUGGUGGAGGCUCGCAGCGGUUCUGACGUGCAAAUCGAUCGUCAAA
RNAcentral lists this ribosomal RNA (854 nucleotides) under fungal sp. mh2746.3. RNAcentral describes it as "eukaryotic LSU rRNA". It matches the Rfam family "Eukaryotic large subunit ribosomal RNA", at positions 23 to 909 of the family's 3401-position model. The record is from RNAcentral. Lineage: Eukaryota; Fungi.